UGUAGUCAUAUGCUUGUCUCAAAGAUUAAGCCAUGCAUGUCUAAGUAUAAGCAAUUAUACCGCGAAACUGCGAAUGGCUCAUUAAAUCAGUUAUCGUUUAUUUGAUAGUACCUUACUACAUGGAUAACCGUGGUAAUUCUAGAGCUAAUACAUGCUGAAAAUCCCGACUUCGGAAGGGAUGUAUUUAUUAGAUUAAAAACCAAUGCCCUUCGGGGCUCUCUGGUGAUUCAUAAUAACUUCUCGAAUCGCACGGCCUUGCGCCGGCGAUGGUUCAUUCAAAUUUCUGCCCUAUCAACUUUCGACGGCUGGGUCUUGGCCAGCCAUGGUGACAACGGGUAACGGAGGGUUAGGGCUCGACCCCGGAGAAGGAGCCUGAGAAACGGCUACUACAUCCAAGGAAGGCAGCAGGCGCGCAAAUUACCCAAUCCCGACUCGGCGAGGUAGUGACAAUAAAUACUGAUACAGGGCUCUUUUGGGUCUUGUAAUUGGAAUGAGUACAAUUUAAAUCCCUUAACGAGGAACAAUUGGAGGGCAAGUCUGGUAAUCG
RNAcentral lists this ribosomal RNA (547 nucleotides) under uncultured eukaryote. RNAcentral describes it as "SSU rRNA". It matches the Rfam family "Eukaryotic small subunit ribosomal RNA", at positions 21 to 570 of the family's 1831-position model. The record is from RNAcentral.